UUCUAAAGAGGUAAAAUCAAUAAGAACAAACAUGUACCAAUAGAAACUCUAAAUCAAUCCUUAUCUACACUUUUACUCCAUUAAGACUGCAUUUAGAGUGUCUCAAUAUUAUAUCAUAAAUAUGAAAACAAAAAUCACCACAUAUAUCCAGCAAUUGUAAUCAGAAAGUCGUACCCCUAUCUGCAAACUGAGAGAUUAAAAAUCUACUCUAGAUCCACAUGGAACAUAGUGAGAUAAACAGUGUUGUUCUGUCAAAAGGGGGUCAGAUUUAUGACCCAUAUAUUGCCCUUCAGCAAGAUAUACAGUUUACUCGUCUGCAAGGUUUGUUGUACCACCCGAAUAAAUACUGUAUGGGCGGUAUGUACUAGUUUGUCAGGCAAUCAAAAAGAUCGCCUGAGUCCCCAUCAGCACGCCCCGGCACACCAUGUGUUGGUAUGCCAGUAUAGAGCAGGACAUUCCGAACUGCCAACCGCACGGGAAGCCGAACCUUGCUUGAAUGUAUUUGAUGUAAUAUCCAUUUGAGCAUUACAUCAAAUGCAGUUCUUAAAAAACAUAUGCCUAAACAUCCAGGAGUCAGAUAAUGUGAUAACAUCAUGUGUCUAAACAUCCAUGAUCAGAUAAAUAUCAAAAUCUGUGACAAAGUAUGAAAAGAAAGGCAUCUACCUGAAGGAGAUGUAAUCAGACUGGUUGGCAAAUGUGAUUAUGCGUUU
This 710-nucleotide long non-coding RNA is filed under the name Musa acuminata (dwarf banana). RNAcentral describes it as "long non-coding RNA (MACU_LNC002704)". Lineage: Eukaryota; Viridiplantae; Streptophyta; Magnoliopsida; Zingiberales; Musaceae. The record is from RNAcentral.